GACGAACGCUGGCGGCGUGCUUAACACAUGCAAGUCGAACGGUAAGGCCCUUCGGGGUACACGAGUGGCGAACGGGUGAGUAACACGUGGGUGAUCUGCCCUGCACUUCGGGAUAAGCCUGGGAAACUGGGUCUAAUACCGGAUAGGACUCCGGACUGCAUGGUCUGGGGUGGAAAGCUUUUGCGGUGUGGGAUGGGCCCGCGGCCUAUCAGCUUGUUGGUGGGGUGAUGGCCUACCAAGGCGACGACGGGUAGACGGCCUGGGAGGGUGGCCGGCAACACUGGGACUGAGAUACGGCCCAGACUCCUAAGGGAGGCAGCAGUGGGGAAUAUUGCACAAUGGGCGCAAGCCUGAUGCAGCGACGCCGCGUGAGGGAUGACGGCCUUCGGGUUGUAAACCUCUUUCAGCAUCGACGAAGCGAAAGUGACGGUAGGUGCAGAAGAAGGACCGGCCAACUACGUGCCAGCCGCCGCCGUAA
Molecule: ribosomal RNA, 478 nt
Filed under: uncultured bacterium
Lineage: Bacteria
Description: partial 16S ribosomal RNA
Rfam family: Bacterial small subunit ribosomal RNA
Source: RNAcentral